RNAcentral lists this non-coding RNA (185 nucleotides) under Endozoicomonas elysicola. Lineage: Bacteria; Pseudomonadati; Pseudomonadota; Gammaproteobacteria; Oceanospirillales; Endozoicomonadaceae. The record is from RNAcentral.
CGCUUUUGACCACUCAUCGUUGAUGAAGUUUAUGAGUCAAAAGAGGGAACAGGGUGAGAAACCCUGACUGUACCCGCAACUGUAAUGGAAGAGUUCUCAGCAAUAUACGUCACUGGUUAUACCGGGAAGACUGCUGAGAAUGAUGACGCCAGAGUCAGGAAACCUGCCUUUGCAAAGCCCAAGAU